RNAcentral lists this long non-coding RNA (759 nucleotides) under Homo sapiens (human). Its description in RNAcentral is "non-protein coding LINC01227:9". Lineage: Eukaryota; Metazoa; Chordata; Mammalia; Primates; Hominidae. The record is from RNAcentral.
CUUUCCUUCUCAAGUAAAGCCUGGCUCAGAGAAAACCACUGGUCUCUUUCCUUUUCUUCCUCCUGACAUGAACAUGGGGCAGGAAGGAGCAUGGAGAAGACAAGAACAAGGCUCUCAGAAGGAAAUGGUGUGGCUGGAGCCAUGAGAACUGGUUGUGGAGGGGGCAAAUAUAAUUUCUGACCUACGUAAUGAUGUAUGCACAAGAAGCCUCUCUUGAAUGUAUUAAUUCAGUAAACAGUUAUGGAGUCCUUACAAUGUGCUAGUGGGACUUUGAAGAUGAAUCCAAAUUUGGAUCCUGGCCUGGAAAGGCUCAAAGCCCAAUAUGGGAGAUUCUAGCAAGACCUUGUUUAUGUUGGAAACUGUUAGCAGACGCCGAAGCUGUCCGGGGCUGAGUGAGUACCACGUUACUCAGGCUUCACUGCGCUGAAGGAAGAGGUUGAGAUGAGGGCAGUCACUCACCUGUGAUGAAGACCCACUCUGCAGCUUCAUUUCCUGUCAUUACAGACAGUGCCUGGGCCCAAUCAGGAGGGGCUUAUGGGGAAUGGGGGGCAGGUGGCACUGGGGUGUCUAGGGAGAGCAAAUACAAAUUGGAUACCACCUAGAGGUCGCGAAAUGGAGAAUAAGUUUCUAAGAACAGCUAAAAAAUGAAAGAGACAUGACAACCAAAUGCAACAUGUGACCCUUGAUAGGCCCUUAGACUUUUUUUAAAAAAAAGCUAUAAAGAACAUUAUUGGGACCACUGUGUCAAUUUGAAUAUGA